UCCCUGGUGGCUCAGUGGUAAAGAAUCUGCCUGCCAAUGCAGAAGACCCAGGUUCAAUCCCUGAUCCAGGAU
This 72-nucleotide transfer RNA is filed under the name Bos taurus (domestic cattle). It matches the Rfam family "tRNA". Rfam says of the family: Transfer RNA (tRNA) molecules are approximately 80 nucleotides in length. Their secondary structure includes four short double-helical elements and three loops (D, anti-codon, and T loops). Further hydrogen bonds mediate the characteristic L-shaped molecular structure. tRNAs have two regions of fundamental functional importance: the anti-codon, which is responsible for specific mRNA codon recognition, and the 3' end, to which the tRNAs corresponding amino acid is attached (by aminoacyl-tRNA synthetases). tRNAs cope with the degeneracy of the genetic code in two manners: having more than one tRNA (with a specific anti-codon) for a particular amino acid; and 'wobble' base-pairing, i.e. permitting non-standard base-pairing at the 3rd anti-codon position. The record is from Rfam by way of RNAcentral. RNAcentral also lists the same sequence under 1 other name. Lineage: Eukaryota; Metazoa; Chordata; Mammalia; Artiodactyla; Bovidae.